GAUGAACGCUAGCGGCAGGCCUAACACAUGCAAGUCGAGGGGUAACAUAGAAAAGCUUGCUUUUCUGAUGACGACCGGCGCACGGGUGCGUAACGCGUAUACAACCUACCUUUUAGCGGGGAAUAGCCCAGGGAAACUUGGAUUAAUGCCCCAUAGUAUAUAGACUUCUCCUGAAGUUUAUAUUAAACAUUUAUGGCUAUUAGAUGGGUAUGCGUCCUAUUAGUUAGUUGGUAAGGUAACGGCUUACCAAGGCAGCGAUAGGUAGGGGUCCUGAGAGGGAGAUCCCCACACUGGUACUGAGACACGGACCAGACUCCUACGGGAGGCAGCAGUGAGGAAUAUUGGACAAUGGGCGAGAGCCUGAUCCAGCCAUGCCGCGUGCAGGAAGACUGCCCUAUGGGUUGUAAACUGCUUUUACAGAGGAAGAACCACCCUCACGUGUGGGGGUUUGACGGUACUCUGCGAAUAAGGAUCGGCUAACUCCGUG
This 487-nucleotide ribosomal RNA is filed under the name uncultured bacterium. Its description in RNAcentral is "bacterial SSU rRNA". It matches the Rfam family "Bacterial small subunit ribosomal RNA", at positions 28 to 507 of the family's 1533-position model. The record is from RNAcentral.